Molecule: ribosomal RNA, 445 nt
Filed under: uncultured bacterium
Lineage: Bacteria
Description: partial 16S ribosomal RNA
Rfam family: Bacterial small subunit ribosomal RNA
Source: RNAcentral
GUGAGGAAUAUUGGUCAAUGGGCGGGAGCCUGAACCAGCCAAGUCGCGUGAAGGAAGAAGGAUCUAUGGUUCGUAAACUUCUUUUGCAGGGGAAUAAAGUGCAGGACGUGUCCUGUUUUGUAUGUACCCUGGGAAUAAGGAUCGGCUAACUCCGUGCCAGCAGCCGCGGUAAUACGGAGGAUCCGAGCGUUAUCCGGAUUUAUUGGGUUUAAAGGGUGCGUAGGUGGUUUGAUAAGUCAGCGGUGAAAGUUUGCAGCUUAACUGUAAAAAUGCCGUUGAAACUGUCGGACUUGAGUGUAAAUGAGGUAGGCGGAAUGCGUGGUGUAGCGGUGAAAUGCAUAGAUAUCACGCAGAACUCCGAUUGCGAAGGCAGCUUACUAAGCUACAACUGACACUGAAGCACGAAAGCGUGGGGAUCAAACAGGAUUAGAAACCCGUGUAGUCC